AGAGUUUGAUCCUGGCUCAGAUUGAACGCUGGCGGCAGGCCUAACACAUGCAAGUCGAGCGGUAGAGAGAAGCUUGCUUCUCUUGAGAGCGGCGGACGGGUGAGUAAUGCCUAGGAAUCUGCCUGGUAGUGGGGGAUAACGUUCGGAAACGGACGCUAAUACCACAUACGUCCUACGGGAGAAAGCAGGGGACCUUCGGCCUUGCGCUAUCAGAUGAGCCUAAAUCGGAUUAGCUAGUUGGUGAGGUAAUGGCUCACCAAGGCAACGAUCCGUAACUGGUCUGAGAGGAUGAUCAGUCACACUGGAACUGAGACACGGUCCAGACUCCUACGGGAGGCAGCAGUGGGGAAUAUUGGACAAUGGGCGAAAGCCUGAUCCAGCCAUGCCGCGUGUGUGAAGAAGGUCUUCGGAUUGUAAAGCACUUUAAGUUGGGAGGAAGAGCAGUUACCUAAUACGAAUUGUUUUGACGUUACCGACAGAAUAAGCACCGGCUAACUCCGUGCCAGCAGCCGCGGUAAUACGGAGGGUGCAAGCGUUAUCCGGAUUUAUUGGGUUUAAAGGGUGCGUAGGCGGUAUUUUAAGUCCGUGGUGAAAUGUUACAGCUUAACUGUAGAAUUGCCAUUGAAACUGAAGUACUUGAGUUAUCUUGAGGUAGGCGGAAUGUGUAGUGUAGCGGUGAAAUGUUUAGAUAUUACACAGAACACCGAUUGCGAAGCAGCUUACUAAGGAUAUACUGACGCUGAGGCACGAAAGCGUGGGGAUCAAACAGGAUUAGAUACCCUGGUAGUCCACGCCGUAAACGAUGAUGACUCGCUGUUGGCGAUACACAGUCAGCGGCUUAGCGAAAGCGUUAAGUCAUCCACCUGGGGAGUACGCUCGCAAGAGUGAAACUCAAAGGAAUUGACGGGGGCCCGCACAAGCGGAGGAACAUGUGGUUUAAUUCGAUGAUACGCGAGGAAUCUUACCUGGGCUAAAUGUGCUAUGACCGCUGGAGAAAUUCGGCUUUUCGCAAGAACAGAGUACAAGGUGCUGCAUGGUUGUUGUCAGCUCGUGCUGUGAGGUGUCGGGUUAAGUCCCAUAACGAGCGCAACCCUUAUUGUCAGUUGCUAACAGGUUAAGCUGAGGACUCUGGCGAGACUGCCACCGUAAGGUGUGAGGAAGGUGGGGAUGACGUCAAAUCAGCACGGCCCUUAUGUCCAGGGCUACACACGUGUUACAAUGGCCGAUACAAGGGCAGCUACCAGGCGACUGGAUGCUAAUCUCUAAAGUCGGUCUCAGUUCGGAUCGGAGUCUGAAACUCGACUCCGUGAAGCUGGAUUCGCUAGUAAUCGCGCAUCAGCCAUGGCGCGGUGAAUACGUUCCCGGGCCUUGUACACACCGCCCGUCAAACCAUGGGAGUUGAGGGUACCUGAAGUAUGUGACCGCAAGGAGCGUCCUAGGGUAAAAUCGAUGACUGGGGUUAAGUCGUAACAAGGUAACC
RNAcentral lists this ribosomal RNA (1480 nucleotides) under uncultured bacterium. RNAcentral describes it as "bacterial SSU rRNA". It matches the Rfam family "Bacterial small subunit ribosomal RNA". The record is from RNAcentral.